Molecule: ribosomal RNA, 385 nt
Filed under: uncultured bacterium
Lineage: Bacteria
Description: bacterial SSU rRNA
Rfam family: Bacterial small subunit ribosomal RNA
Source: RNAcentral
GACGAACGCUGGCGGCGUGCUUAACACAUGCAAGUCGAGCGGUAAGGCCCUUUCGGGGGUACACGAGCGGCGAACGGGUGAGUAACACGUGGGUGACCUGCCCUCAGCUCUGGGAUAAGCCUGGGAAACUGGGUCUAAUACCGGAUAUGACUCCAUGACGCAUGUUGUGGGGUGGAAAGCCUUGUGCGGCUGAGGAUGGGCCCGCGGCCGAUUAGCUUGUUGGUGAGGUAACGGCUCACCAAGGCGACGAUCGGUAGCUGGUCUGAGAGGACGAUCAGCCACACUGGGACUGAGACACGGCCCAGACUCCUACGGGAGGCAGCAGUGGGGAAUCUUGCGCAAUGGGCGAAAGCCUGACGCAGCGACGCCGCGUGCGGGAAGAAGG